RNAcentral lists this ribosomal RNA (520 nucleotides) under uncultured bacterium. Its description in RNAcentral is "bacterial SSU rRNA". It matches the Rfam family "Bacterial small subunit ribosomal RNA", at positions 120 to 674 of the family's 1533-position model. The record is from RNAcentral.
GGGAAUCUACCUAGUUCUAUGGAACAACUGAUGGAAACGUCAGCUAAUACCGUAUACGCCCUACGGGGGAAAGAUUUAUCGGAAUUAGAUGAGCCCGCGUAAGAUUAGCUAGUUGGUGGGGUAAUGGCCUACCAAGGCGACGAUCUUUAGCUGGUCUGAGAGGAUGAUCAGCCACACUGGGACUGAGACACGGCCCAGACUCCUACGGGAGGCAGCAGUGGGGAAUAUUGGACAAUGGGCGCAAGCCUGAUCCAGCCAUGCCGCGUGAGUGAUGAAGGCCUUAGGGUUGUAAAGCUCUUUCAGUAGGGAAGAUAAUGACGGUACCUACAGAAGAAGCCCCGGCUAACUUCGUGCCAGCAGCCGCGGUAAUACGAAGGGGGCUAGCGUUGUUCGGAUUUACUGGGCGUAAAGCGCACGUAGGCGGUUUGUUAAGUCAGAGGUGAAAUCCCGGAGCUCAACUCCGGAACUGCCUUUGAUACUGGCAAGCUAGAGUCCGGAAGAGGUAAGUGGAACUCCUAGU